AGUGAACGCUGGCGGUAGGCCUAACACAUGCAAGUCGAACGGCAGCACAGUAAGAGCUUGCUCUUACGGGUGGCGAGUGGCGGACGGGUGAGGAAUACAUCGGAAUCUACUUUUUCGUGGGGGAUAACGUAGGGAAACUUACGCUAAUACCGCAUACGACCUACGGGUGAAAGCAGGGGAUCUUCGGACCUUGCGCGAUUGAAUGAGCCGAUGUCGGAUUAGCUAGUUGGCGGGGUAAAGGCCCACCAAGGCGACGAUCCGUAGUUGGUCUGAGAGGAUGAUCAGCCACACUGGAACUGAGACACGGUCCAGACUCCUACGGGAGGCAGCAGUGGGGAAUAUUGGACAAUGGGCGCAAGCCUGAUCCAGCCAUACCGCGUGGGUGAAGAAGGCCUUCGGGUUGUAAAGCCCUUUUGUUGGGAAAGAAAAGCAGCAGGUUAAUACCCCGCUGUUCUGACGGUACCCAAAGAAUAAGCACCGGCUAACUUCGUG
Molecule: ribosomal RNA, 492 nt
Filed under: uncultured bacterium
Lineage: Bacteria
Description: partial 16S ribosomal RNA
Rfam family: Bacterial small subunit ribosomal RNA
Source: RNAcentral